ACUCAAAUGAAUUGACGGGGGCUCACACAAGCGGUGGAGCAUGUGGCUCAAUUCGAAGCAACGCGCAGAACCUUACCUGGGUUUGACAUGCAUGGAUUAACUCCUGGAAACAGGAGCCACACUCGCAAGAGUGGAACAUGCACAGGUGCUGCAUGGCUGUCGUCAGCUCGUGCUGUGAAGCGUCGGGUUAAGUCCUCUAACGAGCGCAACCCCUGUCGCUAGUUACCAUCAGGUAAUGCUGGGGACUCUAGCGAGACUGCCGGUGUCAAACCGGAGGAAGGCGGGGAUGACGUCAAGUCCUCAUGGCCCUUACACCCAGGGUUGCACACGUGCUACAAUGGUGCAUACAGAGCGAAGCAAGACCGCGAGGUGGAGCAAAUCGCAAAAAAUGCACCCCAGUUCGGAUUGCAGGCUGCAACCCGCCUGCAUGAAGCCGGAAUCGCUAGUAAUCGGGGAUCAGCUACGCCCCGGUGAAUGUGUUCCUGAGCCUUGUACACACCGCCCGU
Molecule: ribosomal RNA, 506 nt
Filed under: uncultured bacterium
Lineage: Bacteria
Description: partial 16S ribosomal RNA
Rfam family: Bacterial small subunit ribosomal RNA
Source: RNAcentral